UACGAACUGUGCGAACGUUAUUCGGAAUCACUGGGCUUACAGGGUGCGUAGGCGGCUUUUCAAGUCAGGUGUGAAAGCCCCCGGCUCAACCGGGGAAUUGCGCUUGAAACUGGAGAGCUCGAGUCAGCUAGAGGUGCACGGAACUUCCAGUGGAGCGGUGAAAUGUGUUGAUAUUGGAAGGAACACCGGAGGCGAAAGCGGUGCACUGGGGCUGGUCUGACGCUGAGGCACGAAAGCUAGGGGAGCAAACAGG
RNAcentral lists this ribosomal RNA (253 nucleotides) under uncultured bacterium. Its description in RNAcentral is "partial 16S ribosomal RNA". It matches the Rfam family "Bacterial small subunit ribosomal RNA", at positions 524 to 776 of the family's 1533-position model. The record is from RNAcentral.